This 73-nucleotide small RNA is filed under the name Methylobacterium sp. 174MFSha1.1. RNAcentral describes it as "suhB". It matches the Rfam family "Makes More Granules Regulator RNA (mmgR)". From Rfam's summary of the family: SuhB later renamed mmgR (makes more granules regulator) was a putative non-coding RNA found multiple times in the Agrobacterium tumefaciens genome and related alpha-proteobacteria. Other non-coding RNAs uncovered in the same analysis include: speF, ybhL, metA, and serC. The record is from RNAcentral. Lineage: Bacteria; Pseudomonadati; Pseudomonadota; Alphaproteobacteria; Hyphomicrobiales; Methylobacteriaceae.
CGCUGCUGCCCUCCUAGGGCGUUUCCUCCCCGACUGAAGCCGCUCGAGAGGGCGGCUUCCUUUUUGUCGCGAG